UCAAAUAAGAUUUAACUUGACUAUGUUUUACAUUAUACAUGGAGAAAUACAUACCAAAUAAGAUCAAUUGAUAAACAAUAAUUAUUAUAGUCACUUUAGGAACUAAUAAAAUCCGAAACAAGUAGUAUGUAAUAGUGAAUACAAAAUAAAAGCAUGUUUGGUUGACUCUUUUUUAAUGGUAUGGAAUGGUAUCACAACCAUUCCAUUGUUUGGUUAGGCCUUUUUACAUUGGGAUGUCAUCCCCUUUGGAUUCUCAUUCCAUUUCAAUCCUCUAAAAUCCCAUACCCUCCUACCCCUCAAGUUUCAAACUCCAUUCCAUCCCAUAUUCAAACCCUAAUUCACUCUCCUCCUUCAUAUCUUCAUCCCUAAUGCCAAGCUGAAAAGUAGAUCUUAGAAAUUUCCCUCUCUCUCCUUCAAUCUCACGCCUCCAAUCUCAGAAAUUUCGCCCCCUCACCGGUCUCAGCCGUGUCUCGCACCCAUCUACUGCCACCACCGCCAUAUUCCACCGGCCAGUCACUGCCCUUUUCUUUCUUACCUUUUUCUCCCCGGCGGCGGCUCUCUUCUCUGCAGGUGGUUUUUGUGGUGGGUUUUCAAGAGUUAGAAGAUUUCAGCACUUUCAACUAAAAUCCAGAUCAAGAAUUGGGUGUUUUUCUUGGUUCUGCUUCGAAAAAUUUAAAUUUCUAAGUAUUUUUCAAUUCUGCAGGUGUUUGUGAGGUAUACAAUCACAGAAAUGAUUCCAUCUCAAUUAGCCAUAGUAAGAAGAAGGAAGAAGAGACAAAUUGAAUUACUACUACUUUUCAUGUGGUUGUUAACAAUGUCGUCACAAUCAUGUACUUGGUGAUGUGUAUGAUGGGUGUAAUUGUUUAUGAAAUGUAUGUAUGUAUCUAUAUAUAUAUAUAUAUAUAAACUGGACAGAGAAUCCAUUCCAUA
Molecule: long non-coding RNA, 930 nt
Organism: Amaranthus tricolor (Joseph's coat)
Lineage: Eukaryota; Viridiplantae; Streptophyta; Magnoliopsida; Caryophyllales; Amaranthaceae
Exons: 2
Source: RefSeq, a predicted model, not a curated record